RNAcentral lists this ribosomal RNA (386 nucleotides) under uncultured bacterium. RNAcentral's name for it is "bacterial SSU rRNA". It matches the Rfam family "Bacterial small subunit ribosomal RNA", at positions 355 to 758 of the family's 1533-position model. The record is from RNAcentral.
UGGGGAAUCUUGGACAAUGGGGGCAACCCUGAUCCAGCCAUGCCGCGUGAGUGAUGAAGGCCCUAGGGUUGUAAAGCUCUUUCAACGGUGAAGAUAAUGACGGUAACCGUAGAAGAAGCCCCGGCUAACUUCGUGCCAGCAGCCGCGGUAAUACGAAGGGGGCUAGCGUUGUUCGGAUUUACUGGGCGUAAAGCGCACGUAGGCGGAUCGUUAAGUGAGGGGUGAAAUCCCAGGGCUCAACCCUGGAACUGCCUCUCAUACUGGCGAUCUGGAGUUCGAGAGAGGUGAGUGGAAUUCCGAGUGUAGAGGUGAAAUUCGUAGAUAUUCGGAGGAACACCAGUGGCGAAGGCGGCUCACUGGCUCGAUACUGACGCUGAGGUGCGAAA